AGACUGGAGUAUCCAUGCUCACUGCUUAGCUGUCUUAAACUGGAGGCCAACCUUCAGCCUCAACUUGGCCCAAGAUGCUCACUGGGUCCUCAUGAUGAGACCCAGAGCAGACCACCCUGCCUCCCUAGCCAGUGCUGCCUGGGUGCAGCUCAUGCAGGAUGAGUGGGUUAAGACCUUUAUUUGGGGACCACUACUGUCCGGGACUUCAGAGGAAUUCAGUAUUAUUCUCUCUUCUGAAGAUGAAGAGACACAAUCUUAAUUGGACUCAGUCUCCAAGCUCUGUCUGGAAGCUCAGGGCAUCCAGCAUAGGAUGACGGAGGCCAUUGACACAGAGCAAAAAUCUGCCAGAGAGAUGCUGUACUUCAUCUGACGAUUCUCCAGUUGUAGGCAAACAAGCCCUUCUCACCAGGCCUUGGACAGCGGCUCGUGCCAAUUCUGGCCUCAAAUGCCAGCCAGCUUUGGAAAUUAGACUGGUCUUCUGCAAGCCCUGGCGGGGAGUACGAGCGCUGGUUUGUGAGGUGUGGAAAGCCAAUCUGCUUAUGGCACAAGACUUCCGGAUAACCGCAGCCAAGUGCAGAGAGGGAAAAACAGCCUCCAAGGUAACCAGGGUGUAGCCAAGAAAGAACAAGGCUGCCACCCAACCUUGACUCUGCCUCCCCCGGGCUGGCCAGGCCCCUGAGGGGACAUAAGGAGACGUGGUCCGGGCACAGGACCUGUGAGAUUGGAGACUGAAACUGGCCUUUUGAGAGAACAGGACCAAAGCCAGAAACUCCCAGAGACACUCGAGAUGGCUCGUUUUCCCAGAGGGAGGCCCAUGUCACCUCCUGAGCCACCGCGAGCUGCUGUUAUUGUCACAUUUCAGAAAUGCAUGGAAAGGACACAGGUUCAAUCCCUGGUCCAGGAAGAUUCCACAUGCCGUGGAGUAACUAAGCCCGCAGGCCACCACUGCCGAGCCCGUGCUCUGCAACAAGAGACGCCACCAAAAUGAGAAGACUGCGCACCAGAAUGGAGGCACAGCACAGCCAAAACUCAAUCAAUAAACAAAUCUUUAAAAAAAAGAAGGGAUAAAGUUCAGCUUUUAAUUGGGUUAAGAUCUCAAAGUCUGGGUCCGUCUAUUUGGUUUAAGUAUGCAUUUAUCACCCAAUGUAUUUAAGGGUCUUUGUUCUGGACUUGCCACCAGGUACAGUGUAAAGCAGUGUUCCCUCAAAUAAAUAUAAUGCCCCAACUGGUAUUUAAAAUGUGGUGCAGCCCCAUUAAGAGGUAAAGGGAUG
Molecule: long non-coding RNA, 1271 nt
Organism: Bos taurus (domestic cattle)
Lineage: Eukaryota; Metazoa; Chordata; Mammalia; Artiodactyla; Bovidae
Source: Ensembl